This 253-nucleotide ribosomal RNA is filed under the name uncultured bacterium. Its description in RNAcentral is "partial 16S ribosomal RNA". It matches the Rfam family "Bacterial small subunit ribosomal RNA", at positions 524 to 776 of the family's 1533-position model. The record is from RNAcentral.
UACGAAGGGUGCAAGCGUUACUCGGAAUUACUGGGCGUAAAGCGUGCGUAGGUGGUGAGUUAAGUCUGUCGUGAAAGCCCCGGGCUCAACCUGGGAAUGGCGAUGGAUACUGGCUCGCUAGAGUGCGGUAGAGGAGAGUGGAAUUCCCGGUGUAGCAGUGAAAUGCGUAGAGAUCGGGAGGAACAGCAGUUGCGAAGGCGGCUCUCUGGACCAGAACUGACACUGAGGCACGAAAGCGUGGGGAGCAAACAGG